CCGGGAGUGGCGAAACUGGAAGGCGCGCCGGGUUUGCGGACCCGGUGGUGUGUAAGCACCGUGCGGGUUCGAGUCCCGUCUCCCGGA
This 87-nucleotide transfer RNA is filed under the name Actinomycetota bacterium. RNAcentral's name for it is "tRNA-Ala". It matches the Rfam family "tRNA". From Rfam's summary of the family: Transfer RNA (tRNA) molecules are approximately 80 nucleotides in length. Their secondary structure includes four short double-helical elements and three loops (D, anti-codon, and T loops). The record is from RNAcentral. Lineage: Bacteria; Bacillati; Actinomycetota.